AAUAUAGUGCCUGAUUUAAAAGGAUAGCUUUGAUAGAGCUAAAAAUGUAUAAUUCCAUACCUAUAUUA
Molecule: transfer RNA, 68 nt
Filed under: Carpilius convexus
Lineage: Eukaryota; Metazoa; Arthropoda; Malacostraca; Decapoda; Carpiliidae
Description: tRNA-Ile
Source: RNAcentral